UCCUAGCUUCUCGCGAGAGUGGCGGAGCUGCGGGGACCGAGAGCUGCGGGCGGGCUGGAGGUACCCCACCGCGGGGUGGUGCUCUGACUGCGGGAACCGUUGAAGAGCUGCCCCCGGGGAGUCAGCGAGGCGCCACUGGUCCCUUAGACAUCUUCUCAAGAUUAUGCUAAGAGAAAUGACUGCUCCCUCUUCCUGAGCUAUGGCAGUCAGACCUGGCAGUGGUAACUACUCUACAGAACUCCCAAACCUGGCAAGGAUGGUGCAGAUUGUGGCAGAUUAUGGCUUUGUCUCCACCCAGCACUGAUGAUAUUAUGAACCUCUGGUAACUAUCGUUCUACUGUCUACCUGCAUGAGAACAACUUGUUCAGGUGAUCUGCCUGCCUCGGCCUCCCAGUGUGCUGAUUACAGGCGUGAGCCACCGUGCCUGGCCGAGGAUCCCUGCUUCUUUUUUUUUUUAUUUUUUUAUCCAGCCCAAAAUGUCAUGAGGACUUCCACUUCUAAGGGAUAUAUUACUUAAAGGUCCACUGUUUUAAGUCUUUGAUGUAAGGAAUUCCUUUCAUAACAAAAAUAAUAAACUCUUGAUUUAGUGCCUUUAUGCAUUUUUAUUUUCCCCACAUCAAGUUUUAUUUAAAGUUGCCACAUUUAGUACAUGAACAUCCAAAACAUUCUGUUGGUUGACUUCUGCCGGAUUAGCAUCAAAAACUUUCAAUUCUCCAAGCCAAUAUUUAAAAGAAUAUAGAGGCCAGAUGUAGUGGCUCAAGCCUAUAAUCUCAGGACUUUGAGAGGCUGAG
Long non-coding RNA from Cercocebus atys (sooty mangabey), 791 nucleotides. RefSeq lists it as uncharacterized. The transcript is spliced from 3 exons. Lineage: Eukaryota; Metazoa; Chordata; Mammalia; Primates; Cercopithecidae. The record is from RefSeq and is a predicted model, not a curated record.